This 253-nucleotide ribosomal RNA is filed under the name uncultured bacterium. RNAcentral describes it as "partial 16S ribosomal RNA". It matches the Rfam family "Bacterial small subunit ribosomal RNA", at positions 524 to 776 of the family's 1533-position model. The record is from RNAcentral.
UACGGGGGGGGCAAGCGUUGUUCGGAAUUACUGGGCGUAAAGGGCUCGUAGGCGGCCAACUAAGUCAGACGUGAAAUCCCUCGGCUUAACCGGGGAACUGCGUCUGAUACUGGAUGGCUUGAGUUCGGGAGAGGGAUGCGGAAUUCCAGGUGUAGCGGUGAAAUGCGUAGAUAUCUGGAGGAACACCGGUGGCGAAGGCGGCAUCCUGGACCGACACUGACGCUGAGGAGCGAAAGCAUGGGUAGCGAACAGG